This 499-nucleotide ribosomal RNA is filed under the name uncultured bacterium. RNAcentral's name for it is "bacterial SSU rRNA". It matches the Rfam family "Bacterial small subunit ribosomal RNA", at positions 378 to 896 of the family's 1533-position model. The record is from RNAcentral.
CAGCCAUAGUGCAGGGUUCCUACAAACUAACGAAAGUCCACGGGUUGUCAACCUCUUUNAACGGUGACCAUGAUUACGGUUUNNUUNGAAGAAGCCCCGGCUAACUUCGUGCCAGCAGCCNCGGUAAUACGAAGGGGGCUAGCGUUGUUCGGAUUUACUGGGCGUAAAGCGCGCGUAGGCGGUUUUUCAAGUUAGAGGUGAAAGGCCGGGGCUCAACCCCGGAACGGCCUUUGAUACUGGAGGACUUGAGUCCGGGAGAGGGUGGUGGAACUCCAAGUGUAGAGGUGAAAUUCGUAGAUAUUUGGAAGAACACCGGUGGCGAAGGCGGCCACCUGGCCCGGUACUGACGCUGAGGCGCGAAAGCGUGGGGAGCGAACAGGAUUAGAUACCCUGGUAGUCCACGCCGUAAACGAUGAGUGCCGGUUGUCGGGAUAUUCGUAUCUCGGUGACGAAGUUAACGCGUUAAGCACUCCGCCUGGGGAGUACGACCGCAAGGUUA